UUAAGUCUAGAUGUGAAAGACCCGGGGCGUCAACCUCGGAAUAGCAUUUGAAACUAGGCAGACUAGAGUACUGUAGAGGGGGGUAGGAAGUUUCAGGUGUAGCGGUGAAAUGCGUAGAGAUACUGAAGGAAUACCGGUGGCGAAGGCGGCCCCCUGGACAGAUACUGACACUCAGAUGCGAAAGCGUGGGGAGCAAACAGGAUUAGAUACCCUGGUAG
Molecule: ribosomal RNA, 218 nt
Filed under: uncultured bacterium
Lineage: Bacteria
Description: partial 16S ribosomal RNA
Rfam family: Bacterial small subunit ribosomal RNA
Source: RNAcentral